RNAcentral lists this ribosomal RNA (460 nucleotides) under uncultured bacterium. RNAcentral describes it as "partial 16S ribosomal RNA". It matches the Rfam family "Bacterial small subunit ribosomal RNA", at positions 338 to 795 of the family's 1533-position model. The record is from RNAcentral.
CCUACGGGGGGCAGCAGUGAGGAAUAUUGGUCAAUGGACGAGAGUCUGAACCAGCCAAGUAGCGUGAAGGAUGACUGCCCUAUGGGUUGUAAACUUCUUUUAUAUGGGAAUAAAACGUUCCACGUGUGGGAUUUUGUAUGUACCAUAUGAAUAAGGAUCGGCUAACUCCGUGCCAGCAGCCGCGGUAAUACGGAGGAUCCGAGCGUUAUCCGGAUUUAUUGGGUUUAAAGGGAGCGUAGGUGGAUUGUUAAGUCAGUUGUGAAAGUUUGCGGCUCAACCGUAAAAUUGCAGUUGAAACUGGCAGUCUUGUGUACAGUAGAGGUGAGCGGAAUUCGUGGUGUAGCGGUGAAAUGCUUAGAUAUCACGAAGAACUCCGAUUGCGAAGGCAGUUCACUGGACUGCAACUGACACUGAGGCUCGAAAGUGUGGGUAUCAAACAGGAUUAGAUACCCGAGUAGUC